RNAcentral lists this ribosomal RNA (500 nucleotides) under uncultured bacterium. RNAcentral's name for it is "partial 16S ribosomal RNA". It matches the Rfam family "Bacterial small subunit ribosomal RNA", at positions 28 to 507 of the family's 1533-position model. The record is from RNAcentral.
GACGAACGCUGGCGGCGCGCUUAACACAUGCAAGUCGAACGGAAAGGCCUGCUUUCCCUUGUGGAUUGCGGGUACUCGAGUGGCGAACGGGUGAGUAACACGUGAGUGAUCUGCCCCCAACUUGGGUAUAAGCCUGGGAAACUGGGUCUAAUUCCCGAUAGGACUGCAGGGUGGUGCCUGUGGUGGAAAACGAUUUUCUAGUGGUUGGGGAUGAGCUCGCGGCCUAUCAGCUUGUUGGUGGGGUAAUGGCCUACCAAGGCGGCGACGGGUAGCCGGCCUGGGAGGGUGAGAGGGGGAAGUGGAACUGAGACACGGUCCAGACGCGGACGGGAGGCAGCAGUCGGGAAUGGUCCGCGAUGGGCGAGAGCGUGAGGGAGCAACGCCGCGUGAGUGAGGAAGGUCGGCGGAGCGGAAAGGUCUGUUAUGAGGGAAGAAGAUAUGUGUAAGGAAAUGGGCACAUCGUGACGGUACCUAAUAAGAAGGACAAGGCUAACUACGUG